AUUGAACGCUGGCGGCAGGCCUAACACAUGCAAGUCGAACGGUAACAGGAAGCAGCUUGCUGCUUUGCUGACGAGUGGCGGACGGGUGAGUAAUGUCUGGGAAACUGCCUGAUGGAGGGGGAUAACUACUGGAAACGGUAGCUAAUACCGCAUAACGUCGCAAGACCAAAGAGGGGGACCUUCGGGCCUCUUGCCAUCGGAUUUGCCCAGAUGGGAUUCGCUAGUAGGUGGGGUAACGGCUCACCUAGGCGACGAUCCCUAGCUGGUCUGAGAGGAUGACCAGCCACACUGGAACUGAGACACGGCCCAGACUCCUACGGGAGGCAGCAGUGGGGAAUAUUGCGCAAUGGGCGCAAGCCUGAUGCAGCCAUGCCGCGUGUAUGAAGAAGGCCUUCGGGUUGUAAAAUGCUUUCAGCGGGGAGGAAGGGAGUAAAGUUAAUCCCUUUGCUCAUUGACGUUACCCGCAGAAGAAGCCCCGGCUAACUCCGUG
RNAcentral lists this ribosomal RNA (490 nucleotides) under uncultured bacterium. Its description in RNAcentral is "partial 16S ribosomal RNA". It matches the Rfam family "Bacterial small subunit ribosomal RNA", at positions 30 to 507 of the family's 1533-position model. The record is from RNAcentral.